RNAcentral lists this transfer RNA (63 nucleotides) under Neoseiulus womersleyi. RNAcentral describes it as "tRNA-Lys". The record is from RNAcentral. Lineage: Eukaryota; Metazoa; Arthropoda; Arachnida; Mesostigmata; Phytoseiidae.
CAUUAAAUAGCUUAAAUUAGAAAGCAAAGGCUUUUUAAGCUUUGGAUACGUUAGUUUUAGUGA